This 253-nucleotide ribosomal RNA is filed under the name uncultured bacterium. RNAcentral's name for it is "partial 16S ribosomal RNA". It matches the Rfam family "Bacterial small subunit ribosomal RNA", at positions 524 to 776 of the family's 1533-position model. The record is from RNAcentral.
UACGUAGGGCGCAAGCGUUGUCCGGAAUUCUUGGGCGUAAAGAGCUCGUAGGCGGUUUGUCGCGUCUGCUGUGAAAACCUAAGGCUCAACCUUGGGCUUGCAGUGGGUACGGGCAGACUAGAGUGCGGUAGGGGUGACUGGAAUUCCUGGUGUAGCGGUGGAAUGCGCAGAUAUCAGGAGGAACACCGAUGGCGAAGGCAGGUCACUGGGCCGCAACUGACGCUGAGGAGCGAAAGCAUGGGGAGCAAACAGG